This is a long non-coding RNA of Talpa occidentalis (Iberian mole), 708 nucleotides long. RefSeq lists it as uncharacterized. Lineage: Eukaryota; Metazoa; Chordata; Mammalia; Eulipotyphla; Talpidae. The record is from RefSeq and is a predicted model, not a curated record. The transcript is spliced from 7 exons.
CACACAUAUCUGCUUACCCUAAGGAAAAUAAGAAUUCUUCAAAUGUAUGAGAAGAACUGGGUCUGAGAAACUGCUCUGUUAAAACUCCAUCAUUCUCCUACAGCAGCAAUGUGAAUUCAAGAGAAAGACAGCAGAACAAAAAAUCAGAAGCAAGAAAAACUAAAGAGUUAUAAAAGACAACCAGGAGUACAUUGUCAUAAUCUAAAACAGGGUCCCAUUCAGGAUAUCAUAUUAACCUAAUUUCAGAUCCACGGAGACUCCUCUUGGCUGUUACAGUUUUUCUUCAUUUUUAUGACCUUGGCAGUCUUAAGAAUGUACCUCAAGUGGGAACUGUAUCAUGUUUUCCUCAUGAUUAAACUGAGGCUGUGGAUUUUGGCAGGAAGACCACAGAGAACCCUUGGGGAAAAGAACAAAAAUCACAACAAAAAUCAGAAGUAACAUCUUACUACCACUGGCAGAAUGAAAGAUCAUCAUCUCUAACUUCAGAAUUUGGAAGAAAGUGGCUGAGUUUGAUUUGCUAUACAUGGAGAAUCGGAAUUAGAGAUGUUCUCUCUCCCAGUAUCUGUGUGAAAAUAGAUGGAAAAACACUAAAAUGGGCUGCUGUGAGUCUAGUUGUGAGUCUAGCUGUGAAAUAAUUGCAAAAGUGACAGAGACACAUCCUUGGGAACAAGUAAGCAGGCAUGUAUAUUGAGGGACACAAUUUAAGAA